UCUGGUGAUUUUAGCAUUGAGGUUAUACCCGUUCCCAUCCCGAACACGGAAGUCAAGCUCAAUCGCGCCGAUGGUACUGCCAAGGUGGGAGAGUAGGUCGUCGCCAGUU
Molecule: ribosomal RNA, 109 nt
Filed under: Spirochaetales bacterium
Lineage: Bacteria; Pseudomonadati; Spirochaetota; Spirochaetia; Spirochaetales
Also listed under: 2 other names
Source: RNAcentral